This 406-nucleotide ribosomal RNA is filed under the name uncultured bacterium. RNAcentral describes it as "partial 16S ribosomal RNA". It matches the Rfam family "Bacterial small subunit ribosomal RNA", at positions 30 to 526 of the family's 1533-position model. The record is from RNAcentral.
AUUGAACGCUGGCGGCAGGCCUAACACAUGCAAGUCGAACGAGUGGCGGACGGGUGAGUAAUGUCUGGGAAACUGCCCGAUGGAGGGGGAUAACUACUGGAAACGGUAGCUAAUACCGCAUACCAUCGGAUGUGCCCAGAGGGGAUUAGCUAGUAGGUGGGGUAACGGCUCACCUAGGCGACGAUCCCUAGCUGGUCUGAGAGGAUGACCAGCCACACUGGAACUGUGCCACGGUCCAGACUCCUACGAGAGGCAGCAGUGGGGAAUAUUGCACAAUUGGCGCAAGCCUGAUACAGCCAUGCCACGUGUAUGAAGAAGGCCUUCGGGUUGUAAGGUACUUUCAGCGAGGAGGCGUUACUCGCAGAAGAAGCACCGGCUAACUCCGUGCCAGCCGCCGCGGUAAUUC